AAAACUUUCAACAACGGAUCUCUUGGCUCUGGCAUCGAUGAAGAACGCAGCGAAAUGCGAUAAGUAAUGUGAAUUGCAGAAUUCAGUGAAUCAUCGAAUCUUUGAACGCACAUUGCGCCCGCCAGUAUUCUGGCGGGCAUGCCUGUUCGAGCGUCAUUACAACCCUCAGGCCCCCGGGCCUGGCGUUGGGGAUCGGCGGAAGCCCCCUGCGGGCACAACGCCGUCCCCCAAAUACAGUGGCGGUCCCGCCGCAGCUUCCAUUGCGUAGUAGCUAACACCUCGCAACUGGAGAGCGGCGCGGCCACGCCGUAAAACACCCAACUUCUGAAUGUUGACCUCGAAUCAGGUAGGAAUACCCGCUGAACUUAAGCAUAUCAAUAAGCGGAGGAAAAGAAACCAACAGGGAUUGCCCCAGUAACGGCGAGUGAAGCGGCAACAGCUCAAAUUUGAAAUCUGGCUCUCGGGCCCGAGUUGUAAUUUGUAGAGGAUGCUUUUGGUGAGGUGCCUUCCGAGUUCCCUGGAACGGGACGCCAUAGAGGGUGAGAGCCCCGUCUGGUUGGACACCGAUCCUCUGUAAAGCUCCUUCGACGAGUCGAGUAGUUUGGGAAUGCUGCUCUAAAUGGGAGGUAUAUGUCUUCUAAAGCUAAAUACCGGCCAGAGACCGAUAGCGCACAAGUAGAGUGAUCGAAAGAUGAAAAGCACUUUGAAAAGAGGGUUAAAAAGUACGUGAAAUUGUUGAAGGGGAAGCAUUCAUGACCAGACUUGGGCUUGGUUGAACAUCCGGCGUUCUCGCCGGUGCACUCUGCCAGUCCAGGCCAGCAUCAGUUUGCCCCGGGGGACAAAGGCGGCGGGAAUGUGGCUCUCUACGGGGAGUGUUAUAGCCCGUCGUGUAAUGCCCUGGGGCGGACUGAGGAACGCGCUUCGGCACGGAUGCUGGCGUAAUGGUCAUCAAUGACCCGUCUUGAAACACGGACC
This 975-nucleotide ribosomal RNA is filed under the name uncultured Hypocreales. RNAcentral's name for it is "eukaryotic LSU rRNA". The stretch from base 333 to 975 matches the Rfam family "Eukaryotic large subunit ribosomal RNA", at positions 1 to 667 of the family's 3401-position model. The record is from RNAcentral. Lineage: Eukaryota; Fungi; Ascomycota; Sordariomycetes; Hypocreales.